GUGCUCACUUCAGCAGCAUACUCACUAAAAUUGGAAUGAUACAGAGAAGACUAGCACGGCCCCUAUGCAAGGAUGGCAUGCAAAUUUGUCAAGCGUUCCAUAUUUUA
Small nuclear RNA from Eptesicus fuscus (big brown bat), 107 nucleotides. NCBI's taxonomy places the organism in Eukaryota, Metazoa, Chordata, Mammalia, Chiroptera, Vespertilionidae. The record is from RefSeq and is a predicted model, not a curated record.